Long non-coding RNA from Esox lucius (northern pike), 777 nucleotides. The record is from Ensembl. Lineage: Eukaryota; Metazoa; Chordata; Actinopteri; Esociformes; Esocidae.
AGAGCAUGCUAUAGUUAACAGAGUGGGCUAUAGUCAUUAGCGCAUGCUAUAGUUAACAGAGUGGGCUAUAGUUAACAGAGUGGGCUAUAUUUCAAUGAUGGCCACCCCUCAGAACCACCCCUAUAGUUGAUUACUGUUGCUGUAUGUGGCUCUUCUUCUGUAAGGCCUACUGUCAGAGACAGACAGAUUGAUGGGUUGUCAGACAGACAGAUAAUUUGUCGGACAGACAGACAGAUAAUUUGUCAAACUGACAGACAGACAAACAAAUGGGGUUUUCGGACAAACUGACAGACAGACGAACAAAUGGGGUUUUCGGACAAACUGACAGACAGACGAACAAAUGGGGUUUUCGGACAAACUGACAGAUAGACAAACAGAUGGUUUGUUGGACAGACAUAGAGAUGGUUUGUCAGACAGAGAUAGACAGAUAGGUUGUCGGACAGACAGAUGCGUUGUCAGACAGAGUUUGUCAGACAGAGAUAGACAGUUGGGUUGUCGGACAGACAGACAGAUGGUUUGUCAGACAGACAGAUAGAGAAAUGGGUUGAAAGACAGACAGACAAACAGACAGAUGUGUUAUUAGACAGACAGACAUGCGGUUUGUCAGUCAGACAGACAGACAGAUGUGUUAUUGGACAGACAGAUAGACAGAAAGAUGGUUUGUCAGCCAGACAGACAGGUUGUUGGAGAGGGAGUAUCUCAUUGAACUAUAAAUACUAACUCUGGUUUAAAUUUCAACACGGCAGCUGCAAGUGAUGUUGGAUCUAUAUGUGUUAU